AUAGAUUAUCUCUUUGCUUGAAGGAUUUGUAUUAUCUGUACGGUUUUGUGACCUGUCCAGAUGUGAAGCAGAAGUGUUUGGGUGAUUUUCUGGACUGGUGUCUGACCACCAUCUCUCAGACCAGUGAAAUGACCAUGGAGGGAACUGUGCCUCUUGAUGGAGCUUUGCAAUCCCUGGUGACCCUCCAAUCACAUGCAGGACUGUAUUAUCAGAAUAUUGUCAUCAAGUUGAUGGCUUCUUAACUACCGGUAGUUAUUUUUAUAGUUUUUGUUCCGGGUGUAAAUGGGCCUAUAGGCCUGUAAUUACUGCGCUUGUUUAGUAGCUGCACACAUAUUUGCAGGCGAUGCCUGCCAAAGCCUUGAGAGGCAACGGUUACUGUACAUUCCCUCCCACCUGUAUUUUUCACUGCUUUGUUAAAACGCUGAUAAUCGCUAAUUUUAGUGACUGAUCUUUAUCAGAAUUAUUUUCAUUACAGUGAAACAUCCUGCAUGGUUUGAAGUCCAGAGAGCUGUGAAAACGAUCCUAGUGUUAUUCUUUUGUGAAGCGCUUCUCUAUCACCCGAGGCACUCAAAACUGGCUCUGUGUGUUGAGAAUGCCUGCGGUGCUAAAACUGCCAUCAGUGUUUUGCAUAUAUGCUUUAAGUGCCACAAGGCUGUGAGCAGGAACAUGUGCGGUGUGCUUUUAAACUUGAUAAAAACAUGAGACUGCUACUGGCACUAAGAUUAACAGGAUUCAGACACAUCAAAAGUUGGUUUGAUAAAUUUGACUUAACAUCAACCUGAUGAUACAGUAUAUAGGUAAUGUAUUGCUCAGAAGAUUUUGGAUAGUAUUGUGUUUCCCAGCCAGGGCCCAGCUCUUCAAGCAUGGGAAAUGUGAUGAUUUCCUGCAAUAUGGUGUGCGCAUAUCCUUUAGGUCUUUCUUUGGUCUCAGAAUGUAGACAAAUGUUUACUAAUCUUUCCCUGACUGUUCAAAAUCCCAACAGUGCUUCAGUGCCUCAAUCAGAAGAGAAUAGCUGAGAGUAACCAGGCCACAUUGUGUAAGCUAGGUGUAAAAGUUGUCCAGAGAAUUGGCUUGACUUUUCCAAAACCAAGUUUGGCCGAAUGGAGGUAAUUGAGGAGCGACUUAUUGACAAAAUAUGAUGAAAUGAAGCAAAGGAUGCUUAAAUGUAUUAGCUAGUUUGUAAGCAUUUUGUAUGACU
Molecule: long non-coding RNA, 1198 nt
Organism: Cyprinus carpio carpio
Lineage: Eukaryota; Metazoa; Chordata; Actinopteri; Cypriniformes; Cyprinidae
Source: Ensembl